UGACUNGAGUGCAGAAGGGGAGAGUGGAAUUCCAUGUGUAGCGGUGAAAUGCGUAGAUAUAUGGAGGAACACCAGUGGCGAAAGCGGCUCUCUGGUCUGUCACUGACGCUGAGGCUCGAAAGCGUGGGUAGCGAACAGGAUUAGAUACCNUGGUAGUCCACGCCGUAAACGAUGAGUGCUAGGUGUUAGGCCCUUUCCGGGGCUUAGUGCCGGAGCUAACGCAAUAAGCACUCCGCCUGGGGAGUACGACCGCAAGGUUGAAACUCAAAGGAAUUGACGGGGGCCCGCACAAGCGGUGGAGCAUGUGGUUUAAUUCGAAGCAACGCGAAGAACCUUACCAGGUCUUGACAUCCCGAUGCUAUUCUUAGAGAUAGGAAGUUACUUCGGUACAUCGGAGACAGGUGGUGCAUGGUUGUCGUCAGCCCGUGUCGUGAGAUGUUGGGCUAAGUCCCGCAACGAGCGCAACCCUUAUUGUUAGUUGCCAUCAUUAAGUUGGGCACUCUAGCGAGACUGCCGGUAAUAAACCGGAGGAAGGUGGGGACGACGUCAAAUCAUCAUGCCCCUUAUGACCUGGGCUACACACGUGCUACAAUGGUCGGUACAACGAGUUGCGAGCCGGUGACGGCAAGCUAAUCUCUGAAAGCCGAUCUCAGUUCGGAUUGGAGGCUGCAACUCGCCUCCAUGAAGUCGGAAUCGCUAGUAAUCGCGGAUCAGCACGCCGCGGUGAAUACGUUCCCGGGCCUUGUACAC
Molecule: ribosomal RNA, 750 nt
Filed under: uncultured bacterium
Lineage: Bacteria
Description: bacterial SSU rRNA
Rfam family: Bacterial small subunit ribosomal RNA
Source: RNAcentral